This 191-nucleotide transfer-messenger RNA is filed under the name Streptococcus vestibularis. RNAcentral's name for it is "partial transfer-messenger RNA". It matches the Rfam family "transfer-messenger RNA", at positions 177 to 374 of the family's 374-position model. From Rfam's summary of the family: Bacterial tmRNA, also known as 10Sa RNA or SsrA, is named for its dual tRNA and mRNA-like properties. Lineage: Bacteria; Bacillati; Bacillota; Bacilli; Lactobacillales; Streptococcaceae. The record is from RNAcentral.
UUAGAGGUUUUAUUGAUUUAUAAGCUACGUUUGACCAUUGCCUAGCUGGUCGAAAAGAGAUUUAUAGGCUCGCAUAUAGAAGGCUUGAGUUAUGUGUCGUCUAUCUGUUAAAUGAAAGACAUAACCUAUGGUUGUAGACGAAUAUGUUGGCAGAUGUUUGGACGUGGGUUCGACUCCCACCGGCUCCAUAA